Molecule: ribosomal RNA, 490 nt
Filed under: uncultured bacterium
Lineage: Bacteria
Description: partial 16S ribosomal RNA
Rfam family: Bacterial small subunit ribosomal RNA
Source: RNAcentral
AGUGAACGCUGGCGGUAGGCCUAACACAUGCAAGUCGAACGGCAGCACAGGAGAGCUUGCUCUCUGGGUGGCGAGUGGCGGACGGGUGAGGAAUACAUCGGAAUCUGCCCAGUCGUGGGGGAUAACGUAGGGAAACUUACGCUAAUACCGCAUACGACCUUCGGGUGAAAGAGGGGGAUCGCAAGACCUCUCGCGAUUGGAUGAGCCGAUGUCGGAUUAGCUAGUUGGCGGGGUAAUGGCCCACCAAGGCGACGAUCCGAAGCUGGUCUGAGAGGAUGAUCAGCCACACUGGAACUGAGACACGGUCCAGACUCCUACGGGAGGCAGCAGUGGGGAAUAUUGGACAAUGGGCGCAAGCCUGAUCCAGCCACACCGCGUGGGUGAAGAAGGCCUUCGGGUUGUAAAGCCCUUUUGUUGGGAAAGAAAUCUUUCAGGCUAAUACCCUGGGAGGAUGACGGUACCCAAAGAAUAAGCACCGGCUAACUUCGUG